This 3757-nucleotide ribosomal RNA is filed under the name Triticum aestivum (bread wheat). RNAcentral describes it as "partial small subunit ribosomal RNA". Lineage: Eukaryota; Viridiplantae; Streptophyta; Magnoliopsida; Poales; Poaceae. The record is from RNAcentral.
AUGGAUAGGGAGAGGCGGUCGCGAGAGGAGUGGUCGCCAUUAGCGCGAGAAGGUCUUGCACUCUCGCCACUGAUCCACUGUCCACCGUAUCGCACACAUUUAUCGUCGCACAAAGGGCGCUCGCUCGCGCAUGCCACGUCGGAAGAGGCGGACUGUGCAGCGCAGCCAAUGGGGAGUGAUGACACUAUUUUGUCGAUCAAUAUUUUUGGCUGGGCGCAGCAAAGGAGGCCACAUACACGCGGCCCAGCCCAGCACUCCAUGCUCUCUCCAUCCCCAUACGCAACCUCUCCUCUUCUCGUUUCCCCUCUGCCUCACCGCCGCCACUGCUUCCUCUUCACCCCCUGCAUCCUCUCCCCUCCGUUGGUGCGGCCACACGAAAAACGGCGGCGAUGACGAGGGUCGGUCCUUGGCGCAUACCCACGCCCCCGGUCUGUGGCAGUGACGGAUCUCUUCGUCUCACGGGGCCAGGCCUCCCGUCUGUGCCGCGACGGCGCUGGCAUGGAGACCUGGGCUCAGGCAGCCUCCACAAUUUUGGGUGCGCCGGCGAGGUGUCUUCUGCAGCGGCUGGCGGGUGUGUCAGUUCACUACUCAUCUCGUCCAUCUCCAAGCCUCCAAUAUGGUCAUCCUCCUCUCUGGUUUUGCUGAUUCCGACGGCAUCUGCUCGACCUACAGGUCCUUUUCCCUCUCUCUCUCACCAUGAUCUGCACUUCCUGUGAGUUUCCUUUUAUUUCGUCUCUCGUCAUCUCCACAUGAUUCUCGCAUAUUGUUGUAUUGGCUUGAGCUUGUGGUACCUGCAGUUUAUACCGGAACUUAAUCAUCUGGUCAGGAUUCCAUGCCCUUUUUUCUUGAGCUGAUUUACUGCUUAAUAUCUGAUGGGAUAUCUGUGACAUUUGUUCGCAUUGGGUGUCAAUGCUGGCGAUGAAAAUAUUAUUAAUGCUCUUAUUGGGGUGUCAGUGUUGGAAGCUGCUCAUGAGAAAUAUAACUUGAAGGUCCUCUGCAGUGCUACUUUUUUAUUUACUGAUUUUGGUUUUAGUUAAGAACAAUAGGCAGUGAUUCCAUGCUUGUACUUGACCUCAUGUGCUUCCUUUGACUUGAUAUCUCCUGUUUUAACUGUGAGAGUAAUUAGUCGCAUCAUAUAUCACAAGGAAUUCUACUAACCAUGUAAAAGGCUUAAGGACAAAUUGAGUACAACUCUAUCUGAAUUUUUUUGUACACUGAAGCAGUUUCUAAGGUUUCAUCUUCACCAUCAUCAGUCAUAUCAAAGACAGGUUUCCUGACAACUAGAUACUUUAACUUUUAUAGAUUGUAUCAUGGUCUCAGUGAAAACUUCAAUAAUUAUAUCUUUUAGUCAUGUGUAAUUUUGUCCUUCUUUCAUCUGCUUGGCUGAAAAUCAUUUGUAGUUGUGUAAACUGCUUGAUUUUAUCCCCUUUCUUGCGAAAAAUGGUUUGCUUGCAGAAUAUGCCCAUUAUUAAGAUAAUGUCUUAUGUUGAUAGGUAAGUUCAAAAUUGGGUAGAGAUAUAUCAUUGCUACCUUUCCCUCCUUGUACACCUCCUUUGAUUUUGCAUCCUGUUAAAAUUUUUGGUUAAAUUUUGUAGCAUGUUGACUUAAUACAGUACAAGACAUACUUACCUAAAAUUUGAUACACAUGAGCUAAUUGUGUGACCUUUUCCCUAACAUUUUGACAGAGGAGCUAAUUCUGUAGCGUGAUCUAUGAUUUCUGCUUCAACGCUCAACUUAUCAAGUCAACAAAUGUUCACUUUCAGGUAUAUGUCUAUUCAAUGUCGCGCCUCUUUUCCCCUGUUCCAAAAGUUUGCUUGAUCGCGCCCACGCCAUGGCCGCCGUGCUCCUUUUUGCUCUGCCUGUCAACCAGAUCGGCCGAUGAGGCGGAUGCCUGGAGGCGGUGGACCAUGGAGGAAAGGAGGCCAUCCAUGGUGCGCGCAUCCCCCACACUCGCUCGUCUUUUCCUCCUCGGCUCCGCGGACGCCGGGUGCUCGGGCAUGGCCGCCGCCAUGCCCUGCUCCUGCUGGCCUUCAUCAAAAGCGGAUAACUGAGGGCUCUUCUGUUAUCAAGCUGCUUCUUUUUUGUGCCAACAGUUGCAAGUUAACUUAUUAAUAGUUGGAUACGGGCAUAUCUCAGAUUUUGAGAUUGGACAAAAUACUGAAUAAAAUGGUAACUAGAGGAAAACAAUUGCUCCUGAUACAUCAUAUCUGUAUGAUAUUGUUGCUAUAAGUCUCGGGAGGCGCGCACAUCGAGGCCUGCACACUACAGAAACAUUAUAGUCAUUUAGUUUUCUUUCUUUGAAGUGCUAUUUCUCUGUUUCUUUCCUAAUAGUGGAACAAAAUUACCGUUUCUUGGGCGUCAUGUCACAAGGAGGACGUCGGACUGCCCAUUUUAGUGCACCAUGCCACAAGUUCCAGAAUAUUAUUUUGUCUCCUAAUUAAUGAUUUUGCGACUACUUUCAUUUAACAAGGCUUAUGUGUGCAUAAGUUUGUUAGUGAAUCUGGGAGAUGUAGCUAAAUAUAGAAUAAAAUGUGCUUCUUUGCAUUAGGCAGAUGGAACUAUUCAGUUUAUACUUGUUGUUAAUCUUCUGUGUAUUGUGUAUGGUGCAUUCCUUAUUUGGUUUGCACACCACAGAGUAAACUGAAAUAAGGUAACUUGCAUUUUGUCAAGGAGGUUUGGUUCUAUUUUUUUUCUAUGAAAAAAUUGGUUCUCGACUUCUAUGCCAUCUUUCGUUGUUACAGGUAUGAAGCCUUGUUUUACUAUCCUCGGGAUAAACAUGUUUCAGAUACUAAACAAGGGAACAUCCAUGCCCUUCUGUGAUGUUAACCAUGUUAACCAUCUUACGCCAGGGCCGACGAGGAAGAGGACCGGCGGAGUGGGGUUCGACAAGGUGGCGGUGGUUACUUUGUAUAUCCUGUUGGUUUGUGGUUAUGUAGUUCCUAUAGCUGUAACUUUUGCGCAUUCAUAAGGCCUUUAUAGAAUGCUAAAAGCUUCAGACCUUUGCAUCAACCAAAGCUUACUCUUAGAUACUUGGUUUAAGUUAAAUUUGCUCCAAGUAAUUAAGGAUAUUAGGCCUCUACAAGAAAAGUAAGAAUCUGAAUCCGUAAGUAAUUAUAACCACUCAAGUGUGAUAUUCUUGUGUUGCUUAAAUUUCCAGUUAAGAUAUCUUUUUGAUAUAGAUUGCCAGGUUCCGUUCUCACAUAAAACUCCCAGUUUUGUGCUCAGCAUGUACCUGUAUAUGAUGUUUCUGCUAGAAGCUCUGCUUACUUUGAUGUCCAUCUCUUUUUCUGAAAAAGUCACUAACAGUUUGUUUGGCUGAAUAUCUUAUGUCAACUGGAUUCCAUCUCUAUUUCUGUAAAUCUCUUUCCUGAAAAGGUCAGUGACAAGGUGGUGUGGAGUGAGGGGAUGUAGAGAUGGAUGAGGACGUUGGCAGGAAGUAGUUGCAGCUCGACGGCCGGAAGCAGCAGCUCGCCCUCUGCUAGGUCUUCACCUCCGCCCUUAGUCUACCUUUAGCAGCGGCCAGUUAUACUCAGCUUCGUUGCUCCCACUCCUGUUCCUCGCUCUUUCUUAUAUAGGUUUCCAUUUAAUGGCAGCUCUCUCUCCCUUUUCCAUCUCUCUGUUUUGUAGAUAGCAGAGCAACCUAUCAUAUAUACACACUGAAAUUGAUCUGUUGUAAGCUUAUUCAGAUUUUAUUAAUUUCUUAUUGAUUCAUUAAGGAAUGGUUGUAAUGAAUAUUUUAUAUGACUACAUCCAAGGG